Molecule: long non-coding RNA, 1390 nt
Organism: Capsicum annuum
Lineage: Eukaryota; Viridiplantae; Streptophyta; Magnoliopsida; Solanales; Solanaceae
Exons: 4
Source: RefSeq, a predicted model, not a curated record
CUAUUUUUUGGUAUACCUUUUUUAUAUGUGAGCUACCCAUUAUCAAUAAAAUUAUAUUUACUCGAUUAAGAAUAUCAAUAUAUAUUUGUUAUUUUAUUCGCUUCAAUGUCUCUUCCCUAUUUGAAAGGAAAACUUAGAAUGCUACUGUGCUAAUGAAUCGGUCAAUUGAGACUUACUUCAAUUUAAUCAUUAAACAUCGAAGUGGUAGUAGUAGGUCUUGUGAGUGUGGGGCACAUAUUUUUAUAUUGCUCAUGUUUUUCUUCUUUAUGCUCUGUUGAAACCAUUUGAAUUACAUUUUCUUGAAAAAAAGCUGAACGACAAACAAGGACAAGAUCCUAAUGGUUAACUUACAUGGUAUCAUGUAGGUUGUCGACGAAACGGAUAGGUUAUUAAGGGAAGCUUAUCAGUCUUGGCUUCCUACUGUCAUUCAGUUGACUAGCUCUUCUGUUGACGGGAACUUCCCUUCUGCUGAUGAUCUUCUUCCUUUCACUUAUGGUUCAUUGAAGACAAUCAGAAGAGUGGGCACAGAAAGAGGGUUCAAAGGAAAAGCCUAUCCAAGGCUUGCAAAGAUGGUUUUAUCAGCCACACUAACACAAGACCCAAGUAAACUUGCUCAACUUGAUUUGCAUCAUCCUCUUCUUCUAACGACUGGAGAAAGACGUUACAGGCUUCCUGAAGAACUCAAAUCAUUUAAAGUGCUAUGUCAAUUGAAGCUUAAGCCAAUUUAUCUUGUUUCCCUUCUUCAAAAUCUGCAAGGGGAGAAAUCAUUUUUUUCACAUCAUCUGUAGAGUCCACCAUAGACUAUGCACCUUGCUAAAGUUUUUCGACAAUUUGCAAAUUGAGUUCAAGGAGUAUUCUCGUCUUCAACGUCAAUCUGUAAGAAGGUGAUGUUACGUUUAUUUGGGAAACAUUUGGUGGUGCGGAAACACCUGUGCGUGUGAUUGCUUGCAUAGUUAAGUCUGCUGUCUUGCAAUUUAAUAGCCCAAACGUUUGUCCUGCCGCAAGACGUUGAGGGCUUUCCGGUCAGGGCAAGUGCAAGUGCUUAUUUCCUCUGAUGCUAUGACUCGUGGAAUGGAUGUUGAAGGAGUGAGAAAUGUCAUAAACUAUGAUAUGCCUGCAUAUAUAAAAACAUAUAUUCAUCGGGCAGGUCGAACUGCAAGAGCGGGACUAAGUGGAUGUUGCUUUACCUUAAUGCAUAAAGAUGAGGUAUGUCUUUAUAAAUGAUUAGGAGUAAAGGUUUUAAUCACCUGAUGUAAACCUAAGUCAAACUUUAAAUUUCUAUUUCAUAAUAAUAUUUAAGUUCUGGCCCCUAAGGAAGCUAAAAUUUUGUAAAUUACCUGAUGUAGUAAAUCUGACAGUAGCAUACAACAACAACAAACCCAGUGUAUUC